Molecule: long non-coding RNA, 1185 nt
Filed under: Homo sapiens (human)
Lineage: Eukaryota; Metazoa; Chordata; Mammalia; Primates; Hominidae
Description: HSALNT0139284
Source: RNAcentral
CUGCGGGCUUGGUGGCGGCUGGUUUUUCACACAGGAAUCCUCCUCGCCACCGCUCCCUCGAAGGCCGCCCCCCGCUCCACCCCCAGCACUGGGCGCCCGCGCCUCCCAACUCAGCCCGCCGCCGAGCAGACGGCGCGCCGCGCCGGGGCGCCCGAGCCUCUGAUCCCCUCCCGGGGCGCCUGUGGCCUCCCUUCCCCUCCUGGGGCGCCUGUGACCUCCCGUCCCCUCCCGCGGCUCCCGCGGCCUCCGACCUCCUGCCGGGGCGCCUCAAGGGCCCCUGCCCCACAUCAGAGGGUCUUGCGGUUUCCUGGUUUGGUUCAACAUCUCUGAAACCCAGAGGUGAAGAAGAAACCAUGGAGGAGAAUCCGAAACAGUCUUCCAGAUCAGACCUCUAAAAUAACUAAAUUCUUGUUAAUCAUUAGAUUCUCCCUUUUAUUUAAUGUGUAAGUCCAAGGGGAUUCCUUCUGCUUCCCCAUUCAAUUAGACAGCAACCUCUUCCUCUAAAGUUCUCUCAUCUGAAGCCAUCUGAGCAGGAGCACUUUGACCAACUCAAUUCUGCUCUGAUCUGGACUACUUCUCCCAGUUUAGGGAUCAGUAAAUUGCCAAACACUUCCCAAUUUAUCCCUGAAGGAAUCCCUGAAAAAUGAUGGCCUUUAUUCUCCCUCAGAGAGGGAGCUUGAGCUCUUGAGAAAGACAUGAAGGCCCUUGCCGCUGUCGGCAUCACUCCUUCCUCCCUAAUCCGGUCAGUUAAUUGCUGAGUGCUCGCUUCCUGAUCUGCGUGAUGGCCUCGGAACCGGGCUGCGUGUAGACCUGGGUGACUAUCAGCUCAGCUCCCAAGUGGAGGGCCUCGGAAGACGCUCUGUGCGGCCUACUAACAAGCACGAGAACCUCAGAAUGUGACUGUAUUUGGAGAUUGUGCCCUUUAAAGAGGUGAUUGAAUUAAAACGAGCCCUUUAGUUGGGUCAUAAUACAAUGUGACUAGAGUUCUUACAAGAAGAGGAAAUUUGGUCUCACAAAAGACACCAGAGGUACACGCAGAGAAAAGGCCAUGAGAAGACACAGCGGGAAGAUAGCCAUCUGCAAGCCAAGGAGAGAGGCCUCCAGAGACACCAAAACCUGCCGACACCUUCAUCUUGGACUUCAUGCCCCCAAAACUGUGAGAAAAUAAAUUUCUGUUGUUUAAGC